Molecule: ribosomal RNA, 550 nt
Filed under: uncultured bacterium
Lineage: Bacteria
Description: bacterial SSU rRNA
Rfam family: Bacterial small subunit ribosomal RNA
Source: RNAcentral
UAGGGAAUCUUCGGCAAUGGGGGCAACCCUGACCGAGCAACGCCGCGUGAGUGAAGAAGGUUUUCGGAUCGUAAAGCUCUGUUGUAAGAGAAGAACGAGUGUGAGAGUGGAAAGUUCACGCUGUGACGGUAUCUUACCAGAAAGGGACGGCUAACUACGUGCCAGCAGCCGCGGUAAUACGUAGGUCCCGAGCGUUAUCCGGAUUUAUUGGGCGUAAAGCGAGCGCAGGCGGUUAGAUAAGUCUGAAGUUAAAGGCUGUGGCUUAACCAUAGUACGCUUUGGAAACUGUUUAACUUGAGUGCAGAAGGGGAGAGUGGAAUUCCAUGUGUAGCGGUGAAAUGCGUAGAUAUAUGGAGGAACACCGGUGGCGAAAGUGGCUCUCUGGUCUGUAACUGACGCUGAGGCUCGAAAGCGUGGGGAGCAAACAGGAUUAGAUACCCUGGUAGUCCACGCCGUAAACGAUGAGUGCUAGGUGUUGGGUCCUUUCCGGGACUCAGUGCCGCAGCUAACGCAUUAAGCACUCCGCCUGGGGAGUACGACCGCAAGGUUG